GAUUCUGGCUCAGGAUGAACGCUGGCGGCGUGCCUAACACAUGCAAGUCGAACGGAGUUAUAUAACGGAAGUUUUCGGAUGGAAGAUAUGUAACUUAGUGGCGGACGGGUGAGUAACGCGUGGGCAACCUGCCCUGUACCGGGGGAUAACACUUAGAAAUAGGUGCUAAUACCGCAUAAGCGCACAGUUUCGCAUGAAGCAGUGUGAAAAACUCCGGUGGUACAGGAUGGACCCGCGUCUGAUUAGCUAGUUGGUGGGGUAGAGGCCUACCAAGGCGACGAUCAGUAGCCGGCCUGAGAGGGUGACCGGCCACAUUGGGACUGAGACACGGCCCAAACUCCUACGGGAGGCAGCAGUGGGGAAUAUUGCACAAUGGGGGAAACCCUGAUGCCAGCGACGCCGCGUGAGUGAAGAAGUAUUUCGGUACGUAAAGCUCUAUCAGCAGGGAAGAAAAUGACGGUACCUGACUAAGAAGCCCCGGCUAACUACGUGCCAGCAGCAGC
This 503-nucleotide ribosomal RNA is filed under the name uncultured bacterium. Its description in RNAcentral is "bacterial SSU rRNA". It matches the Rfam family "Bacterial small subunit ribosomal RNA", at positions 15 to 518 of the family's 1533-position model. The record is from RNAcentral.